RNAcentral lists this unclassified non-coding RNA (8201 nucleotides) under Diabrotica virgifera virgifera (western corn rootworm). RNAcentral's name for it is "uncharacterized LOC114342577". Lineage: Eukaryota; Metazoa; Arthropoda; Insecta; Coleoptera; Chrysomelidae. The record is from RNAcentral.
GGGUCGACCCUUUUUAUUUAUAUUACUGGAUAGCCAAACUGUGUUUCUAGCUUUUACAUAUACUUGAACUAUGGUAAAAGAAGAAGUAGGUUAAGCUUAAGUCACCGCUUAUCAAAACAAACAAACAACAUUAACAUUGUUAUCAUCAAUACCAAUCAUUCAACAACCACAAAAAUAUAUAAAUACUCCCAAAAUUAUGAGAUAAUGUGAAUUACGAUUUACAAAAAAAAAUAUUUUACGAUAUAAAAGAAAGUGCUCUCGACUAUAAGCAAGAAAGAAAUUUCAGACAAUAAACCAAAAUGGAUACAGUUGAUUUCUGCAGAAAGUUCACUGAAUUGCAAGGUGAUUUAAUAAGUGAAAGAAGAGAAUAUUUAUUCAGACUGAUUAGAACACCCUCACUGUUUACAAGUGAAGCUCAAUUAAAAAGUGCCUUACAAAAUCUUAAACCUGCUACCUAUCAACAACAUCUAUUCUAUAUAGACACAUUGAUAUAUUUCAGAAGGAUUGAUGAGCUUUUGGAAAUAUUCUUACAAGGGAACGUGAUUUAUACAAACAGGAUUUUUAAGCAAUCAUGGUUUCUUGAGUUGAUUUUAAAAGAUAAAGAAGUUCAUUGUUUUGUUAAUGAGUUUUUGCCCCUUGUACCUUACUCUAUCAAAUGUAGAUUGAUUGUCACAGCUUCAAAAUUAUGGAACCAAGAAAAGAAUGAUGCUUUAUUUGAUGCUGUUUAUAUCAGAUAUGGUCUUACUUUGGCUGUACCCAUAUUACACCAUUGUUCCUUACCAAAAGUAGAAUUUCAAAUUAAAGAAAAUGAUUUGAGGUUACGUUCCAAGCAAAUACUUCAGUUGUAUGAAAGAGAUGAAAAUUUCUUGCAGUUGUAUUUGAAUCAUCACAAACGACUUAGAAACAACGCAUACAAUGAGAAGAGAGUUGUAAGAUGUUUAUUGAGGAAAAAUCCUACAUUAUUCCUAAAAAUUAUAAAAGAAGAUAUAAUUAAAACACCCUAUUUAGGAAAAAGCUGUUCAAAACGUUUGUUAAAAUCUGUUAGGGAAGAUUUGUUUUUAAACGUAAAGUUUUAUUUAACUUUUGUGAAAAAAUCAGUUGUAAUGUGGAGAUUGAGAGCCGAUUUGAAAUUUGAAAAAUUAUAUGAGCAAACUUUUGCAACAUCUUUUACCGAAAUUAGUAAUAACCCCAGUAAUUCAUUGUUAAAGUACUACCCCAAGUCUCGUCACUGGAAUCUAUUCCUACAAACCUGUAAUGAAAAGUUUCCCGAUAAAAACCUAGAAGAUAUUCUACUUGCCUUAGAUAAUGUAGAGCAGUUACACCCUCCGAGAGACCUUGUAUGGAAAUGGGCAGAGCUAAAUUAUGAGAAGCAUAUGGGAUAUAAAUGGGCAUACCAGAAGUUUCUAGGGUACUUUGAACCUUCAAAGGCGAUUGUUCUUAUAAAGGAGAAGAUUAAUUUAACAUCUGAAAUCUCUGAAAGAUGUCUGCUAGUUGAUCUUAUGUUGAAGUCUUGCCAAAGAAGUAAUAAUUUGACUGUACUAGAAGAAGUGCUGAAGUAUAUAUGUUUUAGGCACAGGAAUGAAGAUUUUGAAUUCAGAAACACAAUAUUGCAUAAAAUACGGCUUUAUUUUGAUCCCCAGCAGUUUAACGGAAACCAUUGGAAGUGUAUUGACGAGAUCAUCCAAAUUAUGAGAAUCCAAAAAGAAUAUAGUUACGCUGAUCAUCCAGACUUACAAGAGGAAUACAUAGAAUUUUUAUUUCUAAGCGGAAAAGACUACAAAAAGGAUCUUAUGGAUUAUAUAUACGACAAUCAGUCUCAUUAUAUACAUCUAACACUGAAGAAUAUUUCGGUCCAGAAGCGUAUCUACACUGCAGUAUUAAACAUUUUACCUGAAGUUACUUGCGAGGAUCCAUUUGUUUACAAAAAGAUGAAAUUUAACUAUUUAAAUAUGGUGAAAAACUUCAGCAUGAGGCAUCCAGAACACUGUAUAAACAUAUCCGAUUUUCCUGUAUAUAUGGAUACGAUUGAAAGUGUUGUGUCCAAAGUCAAUAAUUUUGAUAUCUACGAUAGAUCUUUGCUAUUAUUGACAAUACAAUACAACUACAAAUUUCCAGACAACACAGUUUGGCUUAAUGUUGAUAUUGUCGAAUUAAUAAUGAAAAUGAUAAGUGAUGCAGCACAUAUGUGUGGAUUUGAUGUAUUAUUUGAAGAGUUUCUUUGUAAGAAGCAUCGAACACAGUUUGAACACGAUCUAUUAGAGCUUUAUUUUAGCUGUUUAAUAAAUAAUUACAUGAAUGGAUAUGUUGUUAAUUGGUUCAUAAUGAAUGAACCGAAAUUUCUUGUACCUUACUUUAGAAAAAUAGCAUAUAAAAGUAUUUCUACAGUGUUUCUUAAACACUUAGACGUUAUCAAGCAUUAUUCGCACUUAGGAUUUGAUGAAAUACUAUGUCGUAUUUAUAAAGAACAGUUAGAUAAUGAUGAUGUAGUAAAUCAUAAACGAUUACUUGAAAAUUUACAACUAUUACUUCCUACGAGUGAUUUCCUAGAACUUGUUAAGGAAAAAUAUAUACCGCAACAAGAUAAGUUCACAGAAACAGAACAGAAGAUUGUCCUCUAUAUAAACUAUCUGCGCUGUGAUGCUGCUAGAUUACUGGUUAGCGUAACUGAACCUGAUAAAGCUAUACCAAUUGCCUUACAGUUUUGUAGAGGAGACUACCUCCGUUCAGGUAUUAGAUCAUUAUAUUCAAGCUUCUAUAAAACUGCCGAACAAACAUUGUAUCCUUAUAUAGAAGCUGUGUCACGUUUAUCUGUUCCUAUUAGAAAACAUGCGAUUUUUUUGAGCUGCGCAUUGAUGAACAAAGAAUGCGUCUUAAACGUGCUCGAAGUAGCUAAAGAAACUGAUAUUUCAGUUCAAAAAAACCAUUUUUCGGCAUCUUUGAAAUUUUUCUUGAAACAUCCAUCCCAAAAGUAUUUAGAUGAAAUCCUAAAAGAAAUUGGUGGAGCGAAUGGAUUAGAUAGAAAGUUGGUGUACACUCUGGUGAAAGUGAAAAUGCCUUUAAAGUACAGAACAGUAUAUUUAGAAAAUAGCUGGAAAUUUGUUGAAGGAUUAAGAGAAGCAUGGACGUUAAAUAUUACGAAGUAUCUAGGUAAAAUACUGCGCCAAGUACAUACGGAUAUGUUGAGGUCAUUUUCAGAUAGUUUCAUAGUGCAUGUAGUCAAAAGUUAUUUCACAAUCACCGAACAAAAUAGACCGGAUAAUUUUGAUACAUUUUUAGUACAACUCUUAAAGCAUAGACCUGAAAAUAGGACUCUUAUAUUAGAUGUAAUAUUUUCAAACCAAUCGAAUAUACCAAAUCUAUCACAAAUACAUUUCUUUAAGAUAUUGUGCAAAUAUAUACGUAAGAAAGACAUUGACACACAACUUAUAAAUUCAGUUCGGCAAUAUUGGAAUAAUUUUAGUGUGCUGGGCAGUUUUGAUCAACAUGUUCCUCUCAAACUAAUUGCAUUGCAAAUUGACAGUUCCACUACGGCUGAAUUUGCAAUUGGUGUAAUAGACUACUUAGAACAGUUAAUGUCUGAAUUUGGGCCUUCGAUUUAUUGGAUUUUUGAGCAGCAUAUUCAUUUUAUUUGUAUUAACAUGAAUGAUGAGGAAAUAUUAUCAUUUUGUUCAGAGGCUAUACAUUAUAAAAUCAGUGCAACUGUCUGUAUACUGAUUAUGAAUCUUAUUAAAAAUAUUAAAACAGAAAAGAAGAAACUAAUAAUGACAGAGUUGAAAAACAUUGAAAUACCUAUUGUUCAGAUUUAUCUCAAUCAACCAUUAACCCAUUAACGCCCAAGUUUUUUUUAUUUAAAAAUCUUUACUUUUCGGGUUAAUUUGAUGAAAAUGUUAAUAGUUUAAUCCAAAAAAACAAGUUUUUCGGUUUCCUGUCUUUUUUUAAAAAAAUUAUAUGGUGUUACCAUAUGGUAACGCUGGGCGCUUAAGGAAUUUUUAGGAUCGUUGAAACCAAAAUUUUGAAUUUUUUUUUUAAAUAUUUAUUUGAGAACAUUUUCGUCGUCUGGUGUGGUAUCCUAUAAAACAAUUAACAUACAAACCAACGUUGCAUUUUUUACACAUUGUUCGUCCAGAUGUUGUACAUCUGUCUCUAGCACAUCUCCUUCUACUGCUUGAUGUAACAAAUGGUCGAGGCGAUCAAAACGAAGAUCUGGCAAGUUCUGUCUAUGUAGACUAGGUCUUCCUGUAUAUAAGGGACGACUUCCAUAUCUUGCAAGAAGAACUUGGACCAAUUCUCUCCUAAACAAUAGCAAGGAUAUAUUUUUUUUAUUUUUUUUAUAUAAAUGCCAUGAAUUACGGACUGCAACAUCCAACAACCAUGUUACAAUUUGUCAGUAUCAUUUUUACUGCAAAUUGCUACUCGGUAGGUUGAAACACCUUGAUCCAUCCAGUCGGUACCCACCAUAUUUGGUUGCAUUCAGCAAUAUAGUGAGACCGACUUACUUGAAUGUGGCCCUUGAACGGACGUCCAUCUUUUUCUAUAAAUUUAAACCACACUGUCAUAUGAUUAUCUCUCGACGGUUGAGAAAAGGCUAAAAUACGAAUCUGUUACGUUUUAUGGGUGCCUGAAGUAUUCCUAGAAACGAUGGUUCUGAAAAUAUAUGGCUGACUAAUUCCAUGGGCUAUAAAAUAUAUGUUACGUAUGGGAUGUCCACGAGAUACUUUACGUGAAGAUCCCUAGGUUCAUUAAUAUAAAAAUACUCAAGUGCCGCUUAAAACCAAGUUUUUAUUACUUUUUCGGUGAACUUUACAAGAUGGACUUGACUUUACAAAAUGAUUGACGUUACUUAUAUUAACACACUUUUUUCAAUUUUUUGGAAAUAUUGAUAUAAGGCAUUCAUAUAUAUUUAUUAAGAAUUUUUAAAAAUCAUGUGUUUUACGUUACCAUAUGAAGAGCUCAAGAAUAAAAGGAUGAGGGUUCAAAAAGACAAGUUUUGAGAUAUUAAGUUUUUAAGUUUUAAAACUAGAUAUAAAAAUAAUUAACAGAAAAGGCACUUGAUUUUGGUUACUAAAUCAUUCAAUAACUUACAGGGAAGGUAUAGGUUAUGUUUUUGUGUUAUCAAUUUACAAAUUACUAUAAAUAUAUUAUCUUUUUAUGUCAUGAAAUCUCAAGCUAAAUGGAUGAGGGUCCAUUAACGUGUCUUAAAAUGAAACUAAAAAUACAGAUAAAGUAGUCUAUAUUACAAAUAGUUUAUAUUGCAAGUAGUUACAGAUAAUAUACAAUGAAAAAUAAACGCUUUAAGCAUGUGGCAGUGCGUCAAAAUAUGCUUGAGACUUAACAGAGCAAAAUUUUUUCAAAUGUUGGAUAUCGUCGAAUUUUGCUUUAUUUAAAGGUAAAAGUCCACAAUAUGCUAGCUCUGGUAGGUGAAAACAGCCUUCAGGUAGUGAAAUUUGUUUCCUCUAAGGCUUAGUAACAAUAUUUUCUUCAUUUAGGCCAUUAACAGUUUGACGAUGUAACAUCAUUCGAGGGUGAUGAGAAACGAUGCUUAGUUGCCGUACAGGUCGUGUUUUGAAAUGACAACUUUUUGUAUACAAAGGAGAAAGAAACUUAGUCCAUGACUUAAAUAUUUCCUGGUUCUCGCAAGAAAUAACUCUAAAUGGUGUUGGUUUGGAUCUGGAGUGUUCAAUAAUUUCGUUCCACUCCGAAGGGGUUUUAACCACAGAUUUUUGAUUGAUUAAGCCCAUGUUCCUGUCACACUCGAGGUACGAGUGGCCUCUGAUUGGAAAAAACAUUGUUAUUUUAUCAAGUCUCUUAGUGUAGUGUACAAUGUAGUGAAGCAUACGGAAAACGGCGUAAUUUUUAUCCUGACCUGCGCAUGAAUCGCAGAAAAUUUUAAGCACUUUUACUUGCAAGUCAAGGUGAUUAAAAAUAAAAUCCCAAAGCAAGGAACAAACCUCAUCACCUCCUUUCUUGCCAUAGAUUUCUGCAUAGGUAUAAAAAAAAGAUUCUGAGUCUGAAAGUUUAUGUAUGUUGAACAUGUAAACUGAUAGUUGCCUACGAUAAUACACAUCGUUAGUACUAAUAUUUGGGACAGGCAAAUUCUUUUGGAAAUCCAUUGCAAUCGCUUCUUUUGUUUUGUCUUUUUGUGCUUCAAGCCUAGCACUUCAAAAAUGUAAUAACAUCAAUCUACACCAAAAUAACAGAAAACUAUAAACACAGAUAUGUACGUUUACAAACCUCUGGGCAACAAACAACUCUAAUAGCAGAGAUCUCUGUGGUCAGAAGUCUGAAGUAGGUGGACUGUCAUCCUUUUAGCCUGCGUUUGUAGCACCUUCAUUCUUUUAGCCUAGAAGACCUAUUUUUCAAAGCUGAAUGGCUAGUACACCGUCAUCUUUAUUGCUUAGUUAGAUACCAUACAAUAUUUUACAUGGGAUAAAGUACAAAAAAUUCGUAUUAUCUCCAUAAUGACGUAUAAUGGACCCUCAUCCUUUUAGCUUUGAGCCCUUCAUAUGGUAACGCUGGGCGCUAAUGGGUUAAAUCAUGUGUCACUGCCCCAGACCUAUUGGUAGAUAGCGGCGAUUUUUGCAGUUACUCGAGCGCGUUAGAAAAUCACAUGGGGAGAAACGUUAUUAUAUUGAAUCCUGUGUAAAUGUACCCCUACCAUAUAUUGAAUCUUAAUACAGGGGAGUUCGUUGAUGGGGGUCCGAAAAAAAUCUAUCCUUAGAAAAAUUCGAAGUCGUUAGAUUACAUGCAGAACAGUGUAUAUUUUAAAAAUCUGAAAUGGGUGAGUCACAAAGUUUCACAAGAAAAAAACGACUAUUUUGAGAAAUAAACUUCAGAUCGAAAACCUAAAAAAUACGUGCUCAAUAUUUUUCAAAAAUCUAUUGAAUGAUACCAAACACGACCCCCACGGAAGCGGGGUGGGGGUUACUUUAAAAUAUUAAAUAGGAGACCCAUUUUUUAUUGCAGAUUUGGAUUCUUUACGCCAAAAUAUGUAACUUUUAUUCGAGACACUUGACACUUUUUUGAAUCAUGGGUAGAUGGCGCUAUAAUCGGAAAAAAACGAUUGUUGGAAAUGGAAAAUUAAAUUAAAAAAAUGGAAAGUCCCCACUUAAAUGGAAAACUGUACUUAACUUUUUUUGGUUUUAGGACCUAAUCUUCACAACCCAAUAGGUCUUCAUAACGCUCGAGUAACUGCAAAUUUAGCAUAUUUUCCACCCCUACUAUAUCUUAUAUAUAAAAAUCAACUGCUGUUCGUUAGUCUCGCUAAAACUCGAGAAUGGUUGGAGCGAUUUGGCUAAUUUUGAUGUUGAAUUAUUUGUGGAAGUUCAGGGAAGGUUUAUACUGUAUUAUAUCGUCAUUUUAGUAGUCACCAAAAAUUUUACAUCUAUAUGUAUAAAAUGCUCUUUUUUACAAUGUUUGUUGCCAUACUCUUCCGAAACGACUGGCCGAUUUUUAUGAAAUUUGGCAGAUAUAUUCGACCGGACUGGGAGUAGACCGGGAACCGAAAUUUUCUGACGAACGGCAAGUAGGAGAAAAGUUCUGAGCACACGAAAAGAACAAGCAGCAAAUGAUAAAAUUUUAUUUCAUUUUAUUAAAUAUUAAAUAUUUUUGUUAGAUUCUAUUUACUUACUUUUAUUUAAUUUAAUUAUUUUUUUGAUUUAUUUAUUAUUUUUAGUUUAUUCAGUUUUAUUUACUUUUAUUAAAUUUUAUGAAAUUUUAUUUUAUUUAAUGAUAUUUAAGUUUAAUUUGGUAAGAGCGCCUACGAAUGGUGGUGAGUUCGAAUCUCACCAGGGUCAGGAAUUUUUCGUUUAUUAUAAAUUAAUGGAUGGAAAUAGUUUCUGUCCUUGUGAGAUCGGUACUCACCGGAGUGACCGCAGACGUUCGGAUACAAUUAGCGUCUCUUUGAAAAGACAAUGAUGUCGACUUUGCAAAGUAACAAGACACUUACUCUACACACACACCCUACACAUGACACUAAGUACCUAACAGCAAAUAUUCACCGUACAUACCAUGCCAAUGGCCAUUAGUUGUCGAGGCAUUAGCUAAAUAAAAAAAAUUAGAAUUUAAAUUUGUUUAUUGUUCAUAUAAAUAUCUGUAAUACAAAAUUUUAUCCAUCCACAUAAAAUAAUAAUAAAAUUAUUUGUACAUUUUGUUAUGUUUCUUUUAUAUUUGUAUUUUUUAAUAAAACAUUUUAUUACCGCUAA